This 1512-nucleotide ribosomal RNA is filed under the name uncultured bacterium. Its description in RNAcentral is "bacterial SSU rRNA". It matches the Rfam family "Bacterial small subunit ribosomal RNA". The record is from RNAcentral.
AGAGUUUGAUCAUGGCUCAGGAUGAACGCUGGCGGCGUGCCUAAUACAUGCAAGUCGAACGCACAGCGAAAGGUGCUUGCACCUUUCAAGUGAGUGGCGAACGGGUGAGUAACACGUGGACAACCUGCCUCAAGGCUGGGGAUAACAUUUGGAAACAGAUGCUAAUACCGAAUAAAACUUAGUGUCGCAUGACAAAAAGUUAAAAGGCGCUUCGGCGUCACCUAGAGAUGGAUCCGCGGUGCAUUAGUUAGUAGGUGAGGUAAUGGCUCACCUAGGCGACGAUCCCUAGCUGGUCUGAGAGGAUGACCAGCCACACUGGAACUGAGACACGGUCCAGACUCCUACGGGAGGCAGCAGUGGGGAAUAUUGCACAAUGGGCGCAAGCCUGAUGCAGCCAUGCCGCGUGUGUGAAGAAGGCCUUAGGGUUGUAAAGCACUUUCAGCGAGGAGGAAGGCAUCACACUUAAUACGUGUGGUGAUUGACGUUACUCGCAGAAGAAGCACCGGCUAACUCCGUGCCAGCAGCCGCGGUAAUACGGAGGGUGCAAGCGUUAAUCGGAAUUACUAGGCGUAAAGCGCACGCAGGCGGUUUGUUAAGUCAGAUGUGAAAUCCCCGCGCUUAACGUGGGAACUGCAUUUGAAACUGGCUAGCUAGAGUCUUGUAGAGGGGGGUAGAAUUCCAGGUGUAGCGGUGAAAUGCGUAGAGAUCUGGAGGAAUACCGGUGGCGAAGGCGGCCCCUGGACAAGACUGACGCUCAGGUGCGAAAGCGUGGGGAGCAAACAGGAUUAGAUACCCUGGUAGUCCACGCUGUAAACGAUGUCGACUUGGAGGUUGUGCCCUUGAGGCGUGGCUUCCGGAGCUAACGCGUUAAGUCGACCGCCUGGGGAGUACGGCCGCAAGGUUAAAACUCAAAUGAAUUGACGGGGGCCCGCACAAGCGGUGGAGCAUGUGGUUUAAUUCGAUGCAACGCGAAGAACCUUACCUACUCUUGACAUCCACGGAAUUCGCCAGAGAUGGCUUAGUGCCUUCGGGAACCGUGAGACAGGUGCUGCAUGGUUGUCGUCAGCUCGUGUUGUGAAAUGUUGGGUUAAGUCCCGCAACGAGCGCAACCCUUAUCCUUUGUUGCCAGCACGUAAUGGUGGGAACUCAAAGGAGACUGCCGGUGAUAAACCGGAGGAAGGUGGGGAUGACGUCAAGUCAUCAUGGCCCUUACGAGUAGGGCUACACACGUGCUACAAUGGCAUAUACAAAGAGAAGCGAACUCGCGAGAGCAAGCGGACCUCAUAAAGUAUGUCGUAGUCCGGAUUGGAGUCUGCAACUCGACUCCAUGAAGUCGGAAUCGCUAGUAAUCGUAGAUCAGAAUGCUACGGUGAAUACGUUCCCGGGCCUUGUACACACCGCCCGUCACACCAUGGGAGUGGGUUGCAAAAGAAGUAGGUAGCUUAACCUUCGGGAGGGCGCUUACCACUUUGUGAUUCAUGACUGGGGUGAAGUCGUAACAAGGUAACCGUA